This 76-nucleotide transfer RNA is filed under the name Chloroflexota bacterium. RNAcentral's name for it is "Chloroflexi bacterium tRNA-Asn". It matches the Rfam family "tRNA". From Rfam's summary of the family: Transfer RNA (tRNA) molecules are approximately 80 nucleotides in length. Their secondary structure includes four short double-helical elements and three loops (D, anti-codon, and T loops). The record is from RNAcentral. Lineage: Bacteria; Bacillati; Chloroflexota. RNAcentral also lists the same sequence under 2 other names.
UCCUGACUAGCUCAAUCGGCAGAGCGAGCGGCUGUUAACCGCUAGGUUCUAGGUUCAAGUCCUAGGUCAGGAGCCA